UACGUAGGGGGCGAGCGUUACCCGGAAUCACUGGGCGUAAAGGGAGCGUAGGUGGCCUGACAUGUCGACUGUGAAAACCCGGAGCUCAACUCCGGACUUGCAGUUGAAACUGCCAGGCUUGAGGACGGUAGAGGAAGACGGAACUGCCAGUGUAGGGGUAAAAUCCUUAGAUAUUGGCAGGAACGCCGGUGACGAAGGUGGUUUUCUGGGCCGGUUCUGACACUGAUGCUCGAAAGCCAGGGGAGCGAACGGGAUUAGAUACCCGCGUAGUCCCUGAGCGGGCU
Molecule: ribosomal RNA, 284 nt
Filed under: uncultured prokaryote
Description: partial 16S ribosomal RNA
Rfam family: Bacterial small subunit ribosomal RNA
Source: RNAcentral